GACGAACGCUGGCGGCGUGCUUAACACAUGCAAGUCGAACGGAAAGGCCCUGCUUGCAGGGUACUCGAGUGGCGAACGGGUGAGUAACACGUGGGUGAUCUGCCCUGCACUUCGGGAUAAGCCUGGGAAACUGGGUCUAAUACCGGAUAGGAGCCAUUUUUAGUGUGAUGGUUGGAAAGUUUUUUCGGUGUAGGAUGAGCUCGCGGCCUAUCAGCUUGUUGGUGGGGUAAUGGCCUACCAAGGCGGCGACGGGUAGCCGGCCUGAGAGGGUGGACGGCCACAUUGGGACUGAGAUACGGCCCAGACUCCUACGGGAGGCAGCAGUGGGGAAUAUUGCACAAUGGGCGGAAGCCUGAUGCAGCGACGCCGCGUGGGGGAUGACGGCCUUCGGGUUGUAAACUCCUUUCGCUAGGGACGAAGCUUUUGUGACGGUAACUAGAUAAGAAGCACCGGCUAACUACGUG
Molecule: ribosomal RNA, 464 nt
Filed under: uncultured bacterium
Lineage: Bacteria
Description: partial 16S ribosomal RNA
Rfam family: Bacterial small subunit ribosomal RNA
Source: RNAcentral